This 225-nucleotide ribosomal RNA is filed under the name uncultured Thorsellia sp. Its description in RNAcentral is "partial 16S ribosomal RNA". It matches the Rfam family "Bacterial small subunit ribosomal RNA", at positions 568 to 792 of the family's 1533-position model. The record is from RNAcentral. Lineage: Bacteria; Pseudomonadati; Pseudomonadota; Gammaproteobacteria; Enterobacterales; Thorselliaceae.
CGCGUAGGCGGAUGGUUAAGUCCGGUGUGAAAUCCCCGCGCUUAACGUGGGCAUUGCAUUUGAAACUAUGUAGCUAGAGUUCUGUAGAGGGGGGUAGAAUUCCAGGUGUAGCGGUGAAAUGCGUAGAGAUCUGGAGGAAUACCGAUUGCGAAGGCAGCCCCCUGGACAGUGACUGACGCUCAUAUGCGAAAGCGUGGGGAUCAAACAGGAUUAGAUACCCCCGUA